CGGCAGAGUUGUGAUGCAGGAGGCCGAUCAGAGCGAGCAGAGCGAAGGUCAGCAGAGUCUUCAUGUUUCUGACAGAGACAGACCAGCUUCUGUUUGAAGGAAGGACUUUAAUCUGCAGCUGAUCUGAGUCCAGAGCUGAUCUGAGUCCAGAGCUGAUCUGAGUCCAGAGCUGAUCUGAGCUGCUUUUAUACUCACAUCAGCUCUGUUCUCAGUAUCUCAGCUUCCUCUCUGUUUCCUCUGCUUCUCUUUUCUUUCCGCUUACUCAUGCUUCUUCUGCUCUUCGGAGAAAGUAGUUAAUGUGUAAAGUGGUUUCAUUGGUACUUGAUUACAUUCUCAGGAUUCCAACACUGUCUCAAUCCAAAAUGUGUCUAUUUGAUGUCCUGGGAAUAUAACUUUAAUAAUCUACCAACUCUCAAAUACUUAUACAAAAAUGCCUGUUAAAUAUAUUUCUUUGACUUCCUCUUAAGUCCCAGAUGAAAUGAAAUGUGAGACACCUGCAGGUGUAAAGAGAGUCUCAGGUAUGAAGUCACACAAUAAUCACGGCUCUGAUGCAGGUGAGCUUCUGGAUGAAAGGUGUCUUUUGAUGGUCACUCAACCAGCUGCACAAGAGGCAGCAGAGGAACCUGAACAGAACCUGAACAGAACAGCGGUUCUGGCUGACAGUCUGGACGAGGUCAGUGGGGCAGGCAGACAGGUGUCGUUCCCACCUGUCUUAAGCCUUCACACAGGGGGCGUGGCCACACCCUGAUUGGCUGUGAGGGGAUUGCCUCCAGCUGCUGUCACUCAUUCAUCAGGAGUCUCUCCACACCUGCACACAGGUGAUCUGAAUCCACUGUUAAUCAUGUUUGCACAGAAGUGGCUGAUAGAAAUGUUCUUCAGAGGGACACGUGAAGGAUCAUCAGGCACAAAACACCAUCGAACAUCUGAACUACAACAUCAGCUACUUUAACUUGUUCAUUAAGUUGUUUUAGCUCCAGUGUUUGCAGCACUUGAAUACAAUACAGUUGAAUGUAAUCUUUAGUCACAAAUGUUUUCAAUCCUCUUUGAGUCCAUUAAAAUGUGAGUUCGGUGCAGAGACACGAGGCAGCAGACAGACAGGAAGUACAUUAUCACACAUCUAAUAAUGUUUAAGAUCACAAGAAUGAGAAAAGGAUGUGAAGGAGGAACGAGGACGAUUAGGUUCCACUUCCCUACAUUUCCUCAUUAAACAAUUUAAUGAUGAGAAUAAUGAAGUCAGAAGUGUUUUUAUUUUCAGUGUGACAGUUUGUUCAUAGAAACUCUGCUCUGCUGUUUCUGGGGGAAACACAAGAAGUGAAACUCAGAUCAUGUUGACCAAUCAGCUCCCAGCAUCAGUGAAAACAACUCUUAUAUUUAAUUCUGCUGAUGAUGCAGCUUGUAGUGCUGCAGCUGAUACUCUGAUUACUUUCACUGAGAGACUUCUAUGUUUCAGCAACUAAACAUUAAAUCACAUGAAACCAAAUGUGAAGCACGUCGUCUGAACACACGAGCGAGAUGAUCCAGUCUGAAACAUCUCUGCUGCUCAGCGACACUCAAACUGUCCUUCUAGCUUCUGUUAUCGAUCAGACAUGAACCUGUAAGGAACUGGCCUCUGCUUUCAGUCUCUGCUGGAUAAUAAACAGAGUGAAUCUCUACCAC
This is a long non-coding RNA of Acanthopagrus latus (yellowfin seabream), 1656 nucleotides long. RefSeq lists it as uncharacterized. The record is from RefSeq and is a predicted model, not a curated record. The transcript is spliced from 2 exons. Lineage: Eukaryota; Metazoa; Chordata; Actinopteri; Spariformes; Sparidae.